This is a non-coding RNA of Trichonephila clavata, 74 nucleotides long. NCBI's taxonomy places the organism in Eukaryota, Metazoa, Arthropoda, Arachnida, Araneae, Nephilidae. The record is from the annotation of a GenBank genome assembly.
GUCCUUGUAGCGCAAUGGAUAGCGCAUUGAACCUUUGAAUCCAAAGUUCGUGGAUUCGAAUUUCACUUGGGAUG